RNAcentral lists this ribosomal RNA (253 nucleotides) under uncultured bacterium. RNAcentral's name for it is "partial 16S ribosomal RNA". It matches the Rfam family "Bacterial small subunit ribosomal RNA", at positions 524 to 776 of the family's 1533-position model. The record is from RNAcentral.
UACGGAGGAUGCAAGCGUUACCCGGAAUGAUUGGGCGUAAAGCGUCCGCAGGUGGCUAUGUAAGUCUGCUGUUAAAGAGCAAGGCUCAACCUUGUAAAGGCAGUGGAAACUACAUGGCUAGAGUGCGUUCGGGGCAGAGGGAAUUCCUGGUGUAGCGGUGAAAUGCGUAGAGAUCAGGAAGAACACCGGUGGCGAAAGCGCUCUGCUAGGCCGCAACUGACACUGAGGGACGAAAGCUAGGGGAGCGAAUGGG